RNAcentral lists this ribosomal RNA (500 nucleotides) under Pestalotiopsis sp. IK-2015. RNAcentral's name for it is "eukaryotic LSU rRNA". The stretch from base 141 to 294 matches the Rfam family "5.8S ribosomal RNA". Lineage: Eukaryota; Fungi; Ascomycota; Sordariomycetes; Amphisphaeriales; Sporocadaceae. The record is from RNAcentral.
GCUGCUCGGCGCGCCUUACCUUGGAACGGCCUACCCUGUAGCGCCUUACCCUGGAACGGCUUACCCUGCAACGGCUGCCGGUGGACUACCAAACUCUUGUUAUUUUAUGGUUAUCUGAGCGUCUUAUUUUAAUAAGUCAAAACUUUCAACAACGGAUCUCUUGGUUCUGGCAUCGAUGAAGAACGCAGCGAAAUGCGAUAAGUAAUGUGAAUUGCAGAAUUCAGUGAAUCAUCGAAUCUUUGAACGCACAUUGCGCCCAUUAGUAUUCUAGUGGGCAUGCCUGUUCGAGCGUCAUUUCAACCCUUAAGCCUAGCUUAGUGUUGGGAGCCUACUGCUUUUGCUAGCUGUAGCUCCUGAAAUACAACGGCGGAUCUGCGAUAUCCUCUGAGCGUAGUAAUUUUUAUCUCGCUUUUGACUGGAGUUGCAGCGUCUUUAGCCGCUAAACCCCCCAAUUUUUAAUGGUUGACCUCGGAUCAGGUAGGAAUACCCGCUGAACUUAA